GAACGGGAAAUAUUUCAUUGAGACUUCGGUGGAUUUGAUCUAUUUCUAGUGGCGGACGGGUGAGUAACGCGUGGGUAACCUGCCUUAUACAGGGGGAUAACAGUCAGAAAUGGCUGCUAAUACCGCAUAAGCGCACAGAGCUGCAUGGCUCAGUGUGAAAAACUCCGGUGGUAUAAGAUGGACCCGCGUUGGAUUAGCUUGUUGGUGGGGUAACGGCCCACCAAGGCGACGAUCCAUAGCCGGCCUGAGAGGGUGAACGGCCACAUUGGGACUGAGACACGGCCCAGACUCCUACGGGAGGCAGCAGUGGGGAAUAUUGCACAAUGGGGGAAACCCUGAUGCAGCGACGCCGCGUGAAGGAAGAAGUAUCUCGGUAUGUAAACUUCUAUCAGCAGGGAAGAUAGUGACGGUACCUGACUAAGAAGCCCCGGCUAACUACGUGCCAGCAGCCGCGGUAAUACGUAGGGGGCAAGCGUUAUCCGGAUUUACUGGGUGUAAAGGGAGCGUAGACGGUGUGGCAAGUCUGAUGUGAAAGGCAUGGGCUCAACCUGUGGACUGCAUUGGAAACUGUCAUACUUGAGUGCCGGAGGGGUAAGCGGAAUUCCUAGUGUAGCGGUGAAAUGCGUAGAUAUUAGGAGGAACACCAGUGGCGAAGGCGGCUUACUGGACG
RNAcentral lists this ribosomal RNA (670 nucleotides) under uncultured Lachnospiraceae bacterium. RNAcentral's name for it is "bacterial SSU rRNA". It matches the Rfam family "Bacterial small subunit ribosomal RNA", at positions 64 to 735 of the family's 1533-position model. The record is from RNAcentral. Lineage: Bacteria; Bacillati; Bacillota; Clostridia; Lachnospirales; Lachnospiraceae.